GAGUUUGAUCCUGGCUCAGCCUGAACGCUGGCGGCGUGGCUAAGACAUGCAAGUCGAACGGGACGCGUAGCAAUACGCGUUCAGUGGCGGACGGGUGAGUAACGUAUCGCUAACGUACCCUUAGGCCCGGGAUAGCCAUCCGAAAGGAUGGGUAAUACCGGAUGACAUACCCGCGGGGCAUCCCGCGGGUCUCAAAGCCGCUAGGCGCCUUUGGAGCGGGCGAUAUCGUAUCAGCUAGUUGGUGCGGGUAACGGCCCACCAAGGCGAUGACGCGUAGCUGGUCUGAGAGGACGGCCAGCCACAUCGGGACUGAGACACUGCCCGGACUCCUACGGGGGGCUGCAGUAACGAAUCUUCCGCAAUGCACGAAAGUGUGACGGAGCGACGCCGCGUGUGGGACGAAGUCCUUCGGGAUGUAAACCACUGUCAGGGGUUACCAAGUUCUGAGGAGCCCCAGAGGAAGGCACGGCUAACUCUGUGCCAGCAGCCGCGGUAAGACAGAGGUGCCGAGCGUUAGGCGGAAUCACUGGGCUUAAAGCGUGUGUAGGCGGAUGCCUAAGUACCUUGUGAAAUCCCACGGCUCAACCGUGGAACGGCUCGGUAUACUGGGCGUCUUGAGCUGUCUAGGGGCGACCGGAACAAACGGUGGAGCGGUGAAAUGCGUAGAUAUCGUUUGGAACGCCAGUGGUGAAAACGGGUCGCUGGGGACAUGCUGACGCUGAGACACGAAAGCCAGGGGAGCGAACGGGAUUAGAUACCCCGGUAGUCCUGGCCGUAAACGAUGUCCACUAGGUCCUGGCCCCUCUGACGGGGUCGGGGCCGAAGUAAAAAUGGUAAGUGGACCGCCUGGGAAGUACGGUCGCAAGGCUAAAACUCAAAGAAAUUGACGGGGGCUCACACAAGCGGUGGAGCAUGUGGUUCAAUUCGAAGCAACGCGCAGAACCUUACCUGGGCUUGACAUGCCAGGAUUAUCCCCAUGAAAGUGGGGUAGGCCCCGCAAGGGGUACAACUGGUACAGGUGCUGCAUGGCUGUCGUCAGCUCGUGUCGUGAGAUGUCGGGUUAAGUCCCUUAACGAGCGAAACCUUUGCCCUUAGUUACCAGCGGGUCAUGCCGGGGACUCUAAGGGGACUGCCGGUGUCAAACCGGAGGAAGGUGGAGAUGACGUCAAGUCCUCAUGGCCUUUAUGCCCAGGGCCACACACGUGCUACAAUGGCGUCGACAAAGCGAGCCCAAAACGCGAGUUCGAGGAAAUCGCAGAAAUGACGCCCCAGUUCAGAUCGGAGGCUGCAACUCGCCUCCGUGAAGUUGGAAUCGCUAGUAAUCGCGGAUCAGCCACGCCGCGGUGAAUGUGUUCCUGAGCCUUGUACACACCGCCCGUCAAGUCAUGGGAGCCGGGAAUACCCGAAGUCGCCGCGCCACAGCGGUGCCUACGGUAGGCUCGGUGACUGGGACUAAGUCGUAACAAGGUAGCCGUAGGGGAACCUGCGGCUGGAUCACCUCCUU
Molecule: ribosomal RNA, 1504 nt
Filed under: uncultured bacterium
Lineage: Bacteria
Description: bacterial SSU rRNA
Rfam family: Bacterial small subunit ribosomal RNA
Source: RNAcentral